UCUGCUGUGGCUCAGUGUAGUGCAUCCUCUCAAUCUCAUCGUCUCCUAAUAACCGGUUUUCGAGGAAGGCGUGGGUUCGAAUCCCACCAGCGGCG
This is a non-coding RNA of Mycena leptocephala, 95 nucleotides long. NCBI's taxonomy places the organism in Eukaryota, Fungi, Basidiomycota, Agaricomycetes, Agaricales, Mycenaceae. The record is from the annotation of a GenBank genome assembly.